GUCCUCCGGAUUGGGACAUCCAUCGACGUUGGGUCGGGACCCUCCACACUUUUCUGGUUUGAUUGGUGGGCGGGUGAAUCCCCCUUUGCGGCUCGCUUUCCGGACUUGUUCGCUAUCGCUGUGGACCCUAGGGUCUCAGUGGAGACGACCCUUAUUGACUUAGGGCGUCUCGCGUUUUGGCGGCCAUUUGGGCCUGCAGAUUCGCUUGCAUGGAUUGAACUUCUGGACAUCGUCGCUCUCCACGAGCGAGACCUUGUGCGCCCACAUGAUCACGUGUCCUGGCGCCUUAAACCCUCGGGCACCUUCUCCACCAAAUCCCUCUACCGGGCCAUUGUCCCCACCCCCGCCCCGGAGCCAUUCCUCGUGAUUUGGGAGAUCAGACUCCCCCUCACGAUCCGGAUCUUCCUGUGGCAAUGGAUCCGUGGGCGCGUUCCGUCCGGUGUGAAAGUGCUCAAACGCAAUGGCCCUGGUGACAGAUUAUGCCCCUUGUGUAGAACGGUCGAGGAUUCCAACCACAUUUUCUUCUCCUGCGUCUCGGCCCAGUUCCUUUGGAGUUGCCUCCGCGAGAUGGUCGGCGGCCGUUGGUCCAACACUAAUUUCCCAGACCUCUUCGCCGAACUCCAGCCGUCACCCCCUUUUAGCCGCCACGUUAGGUGGCUGGCGAUUGGGGUCCUUGCCUGGACUUUGUGGACGAUCCGGAAUAAGCUUGUGAUUCGACGUGUCCCUCUUCGACGUGCAACUGACGCAAUCUUAAAACUAUGUGGUUACUUGCAGCUAUGGCGGCCGCUUAGCCGCCCCACGACGCCAUCAACAUCAUCAUUGCUGAUCUGUGCACAAUGGAUAUUCGUUUGGCGCCACCGCUUCCUCUGCCACCUCCAGAGCCAGACUAGAUGGCCUGUCCGCGUCGCGUUGAUGCUUGUUGUUUUUCUUUUCUUUUCUUUGGGCUUCUUGAAUUGUGCCCUCAACAGAACCUCGUACUAUUUGUCGUGUUCAGACUGUGAGUGUAUGUGGUUGUGA
Molecule: ribosomal RNA, 1017 nt
Filed under: Triticum aestivum (bread wheat)
Lineage: Eukaryota; Viridiplantae; Streptophyta; Magnoliopsida; Poales; Poaceae
Description: partial small subunit ribosomal RNA
Source: RNAcentral